UACGUAGGGGCGAGCGUUGUCCGGAAUUACUGGGCGUAAAGGGUGCGUAGGUGGUUUCUUAAGUCAGAGGUGAAAGGCUACGGCUCAACCGUAGUAAGCCUUUGAAACUGGGAAACUUGAGUGCAGGAGAGGAGAGUGGAAUUCCUAGCGUAGCGGUGAAAUGCGUAGAUAUUAGGAGGAACACCAGUUGCGAAGGCGGCUCUCUGGACUGUAACUGACACUGAGGCACGAAAGCGUGGGGAGCAAACAGGAUUAGAUACCCUGGUAGUCCCUGAG
RNAcentral lists this ribosomal RNA (276 nucleotides) under uncultured prokaryote. RNAcentral describes it as "partial 16S ribosomal RNA". It matches the Rfam family "Bacterial small subunit ribosomal RNA", at positions 524 to 801 of the family's 1533-position model. The record is from RNAcentral.